AUGGCGACGGCGACGGCGACGGCGACGGGUUUCUCUGGCGACGGCGACGCCGCGACGGCGACGGGUUGAGGGCUGCGUAGACGGCGCGGCGAGGAGGGGCAUGUGCUGUGGAGACGGCGCGGCGAGGUGGGGCAGUGGUGGUUGUGCGGCGAGGCGGGGCAGGUGCUGCAGAGACGGGGCGCAGCGAGGCGGGGUAGUGGCGUCGCGGGGGAGGAUGGAGGAUGCCGGAGCAGAGGACGACAGCUCCCGCCAUCGCUGCUGUCCGUGCACGCCCCCGUGCUCGCCUCCGUCUGCGCCCGCGCCGGAGCGCUGCUGUCUGCGCGCGUCCGCGUACUCGCCUCCGUCCGCACCCUUCAGCUCGCCUCUGCCAGCCGCGCCCUUCAGCUCGCCUCCGCCCGCGUCCUGCCGCGUCCCAACCGCGUUGGGAGACCGCCUCUGCCUGCCGCGCUUGCCUUUGCUCAUGCCCUGCAGCUGGCCUCCACCCUCGUCCUGCCGCGGUGAGCGCGAUCCUGCACCUGUGGCCGCGAGCAGGCAAAGCUGUGAGCUGUACGCUUCUGAAUCUCUGACGGACUUUUGCUCCCUUGUUUGAUUUGAAUCUCUGACGGAAAUCCUGCUCCCGUGUCCUGCUCAAACUCAUGCUCCCGUGUCCUUCUCAAACAAAGAAACCGCCCCGACCCGGAUUGGAGUUCACAGCUAUAAGUUGAAUUGUUCUUGGCCAGAAUCGUAAACCAGGCUAGCGCCACCAGUGAGCAGUGCACCGUCGCUUGGGUCGUAACACCAUGAUCACCAUCAUGUCGCCUUUGAGUACGUCGGAGGAACAGGCACCGAGUUCGCCUUUGAGUACGCCGGAGGAACCGGCACCAUGUUCGCCGGAAUUCUUGGUCCAGAGAAGCAUUGUGAGUCCAACGGUGGCUACAACAGAGGUGGCAAAGGCGUCCAAUCCAACUCAGGUGGAGGCCAAGGAGGUUCGGCUCUCGGACCUUGCACCAAUGAUGCUGGAUGAUACCGACGUGCAGACUAUGUUGUCGGUCGGGUGUCCUCUACUACCGAAGUUCCCCCACCAUCUGCUGGUGCUUGAGAGCAGAGACGGCAUACUUUCAUCAGCAGCGGCCAAACCCCCAGCGCCGCUGGUGCUGUACACCCCUGUACCCCUCGAUAUCUAGUGCCUCGCGUCUGCCCAACAUGAACACCUCCUCAAUAUGUACAUCUCUGAAUUUUGCCAUUGCUAGAGAAAGUAGAGCAUUGUUUUGCUGUAGCUAUAAUUUGAGUUUAGAAGAUAUACUCCUCUCUUUUUGACGUCAAUUUUUCAGUUGACACUUGUGCAGAAGCCCAAUGGGAUGAAAUUACGGACCACAGAGAGGUGUAAUUAUUAAUUAAUUUCUUGCUUUAAAAGAUAUGCAACUAGCAGAGUUUCUUAUUAUUAUCAAUUGGAUUAUGACGAAGUUAAGAACUUAUGUGGACAGUCUGGCACAUUUCGGUGGCAAGAUUUUUGUACAGUUACAGUGGCAGAUUUCAGAAAUUUGUAGAGCACAUGAUUAACAAGAAGAAGAUAUUCUGUCAAGCCAUGCAUAUCAACAAUCAGUCAAGCAAAGAAAUAUUCAUGGGAGAUAUACAGGGAUCCACAAGAAUGUGCACCGUAUGGCACUACCCUUUUGUCAUCGAGCCACUAUCACAUUUUGGUCAGCAAUCAGUUCAAGCAAUUCUCAGCGCAAUUAGUCAGAAGUUGGAAUUUACAUCUGAACGAACAAUACAUCAAGCAACAGAAGAAAUAGUGGUCAUCUCUUUUUCUUUGCACCAAGAUGCCAUAUAAGCAUUCAGACUUCGGAAUCGCACAAGCAGUUUAUAUAUAAAUGAUGUGCCAUAUCGUUUUAACACGGACACUUCAAAAGAAUAUCUGCCAAGAGUGGUCGUUGAUCACUAUGAUUAUAGUAGUCCUAAAGAGUUUGCCUCUGCGUUUCUGUUCACAUGUAGUUGAUAUUUUAGCCUUUUAGAAGUAUAUGGCGUUGCUUAAAUUAUGUUUCUUUUGGCAACAACAUAUGAAAUGGAGAAAUUUUUAGGUUUAGGAUAAAAUUGUUCUUGAUUUUGAGAAGAUUGUUAUAGAUCCAUGAGAAAAAUGUCCCAAGUUUAGGAAGUUAA
Triticum dicoccoides is the source of this 2136-nucleotide long non-coding RNA. RefSeq lists it as uncharacterized. The transcript is spliced from 5 exons. Lineage: Eukaryota; Viridiplantae; Streptophyta; Magnoliopsida; Poales; Poaceae. The record is from RefSeq and is a predicted model, not a curated record.